GCGUGCUUAACACAUGCAAGUCGAACGGAGAUAGGAAGAGCUUGCUCGUUCCGAAUCUUUAGUGGCGGACGGGUGAGUAACGCGUGAGCAACCUGCCUUUCAGGAGGGGGACAACGGUUUAGGAAACGAACGACUAAUACCGCAUAAGAUCGUAGGCCACAUGGUCCAGCGACCAAAGGAGACAAUCCGCUAGAAAGAGUGGGCUCGCGUCUGAUUAGAUAGUUGGUGGGGUAACGGCCUACCAAGUCGACGAUCAGUAGCCGGACUGAGAGGUUGAACGGCCACAGUUGGGACUGAGAGUACCGGCCCAGACCUCCGUACGGGAGGCAGCAGGUGGGGAAUAUGCACAAUGGGGGAAACCCUGAUGCAGCAACGCCGCGUGAAGGAUGACGGUUUUCGGAUUGUAAACUUCUGUUCUCGUUGACGAAGACAGUGACGGUAAACGAGGAGCAAGCCACGGCUAACUACGUGCCAGCAGCCGCGGUAA
RNAcentral lists this ribosomal RNA (487 nucleotides) under uncultured bacterium. RNAcentral describes it as "bacterial SSU rRNA". It matches the Rfam family "Bacterial small subunit ribosomal RNA", at positions 42 to 523 of the family's 1533-position model. The record is from RNAcentral.